GAGGACUUCGGUCCUAGUGGCGAACGGUCGCGUAACACGUAAGCAACCUGCCCUGAAGUGGGGGACAACAUCCCGAAAGGGGUGCUAAUACCGCAUGUGGUCACGAGUCGGCAUCGACUUGUGUCUAAAGAUUUAUCGCUUCAGGAUGGGCUUGCGGCCUAUCAGGUAGUUGGUGGGGUAAUGGCCUACCAAGCCGACGACGGGUAGCUGGUCUGAGAGGACGAUCAGCCGGAUUGGGACUGAGAUACGGCCCAGACUCCUACGGGGGGCAGCAAUUAGGAAUCUUGCGCAAUGGGGGAAACCCUGACGCAGCGACGUCGCGUGAAGGAUGAAGGCCCUCGGGUCGUAAACUUCUUUUGAGUGGGAAGAAAUUUGACGGUACCACUCGAAUAAGCCCCGGCUAACUACGUGCCAGCAGCCGCGGUAAUACGUAGGGGGCGAGCGUUGUCCGAAGUUACUGGGCGUAAAGCGCGCGUAGGCGGUUAUUUAAGUCUGGGGUGAAAG
This 504-nucleotide ribosomal RNA is filed under the name uncultured Actinomycetes bacterium. Its description in RNAcentral is "bacterial SSU rRNA". It matches the Rfam family "Bacterial small subunit ribosomal RNA", at positions 68 to 600 of the family's 1533-position model. Lineage: Bacteria; Bacillati; Actinomycetota; Actinomycetes. The record is from RNAcentral.